RNAcentral lists this ribosomal RNA (624 nucleotides) under Triticum aestivum (bread wheat). Its description in RNAcentral is "partial small subunit ribosomal RNA". Lineage: Eukaryota; Viridiplantae; Streptophyta; Magnoliopsida; Poales; Poaceae. The record is from RNAcentral.
CCACUUCCCCUUAACCCUUCCUUCUCCAUAUUUAAAGAUUUUACAGACGUAAACACAUAUUACGCUUAAACACUAAAACUUAAAAUAUCAAUUUUUGCUAAAAGUUUGAUAAAAGCAUAAUGUAGUAUGAAAAUCGUGUGAUAACUCAAGCGGGGUGGAGUUUUAACUGGGUAGGAGGCGGUGAUCAAAAAAAAAGCUUUUCCCCCUGAGGGGCCGGAGACGUAGUCUUGCUACGUAUGCCGGUUUAGGAGGCGGUGAUCAAUCCAAUGGCUUUAUAGAUUCUGAACUGAAUUCGGAUGAUUUGAAGCUUGAACUGUGUUACAACGUGUUAUCCCGUCCAAGUACUCGGAGAUUACACCAUAUUUAAAUACUGAACGCCCGCGUAACAUAAUAUAGUAACAAUUAAAGGAUCACACCGACUGAUCACCCGUGAUAACCAGGGUAGGCAACGUUUAUAUCUUCACAUCCAUACUUUAUAAUACAAAUGUCUCAUGUCAAGACACUUACCCAACGAACUCAUAUCAAAACUUCACCGACGAAUUUCAUAUCAAAACUGUUUUCUUUACAUCAAGCCACUAUAAAUGAUAUUUUUGUUUUCCGUUUUAAAUGUUUGUAUAAAAAUAU